UACGUAGGGACCAAGCGUUGUUCGGAUUCAUUGGGCGUAAAGGGUGCGUAGGUGGCGCCGUAAGUCGGAUGUGAAAUCCUGAGGCUUAACCUCGGAACUGCAUUCGAUACUGCGGUGCUUGAGGACUGGAGAGGAGACUGGAAUUCAUGGUGUAGCAGUGAAAUGCGUAGAGAUCAUGAGGAAGGCCAGUGGCGAAGGCGGGUCUCUGGACAGUUCCUGACACUGAGGCACGGAGGCCAGGGGAGCAAACGGG
Molecule: ribosomal RNA, 253 nt
Filed under: uncultured bacterium
Lineage: Bacteria
Description: partial 16S ribosomal RNA
Rfam family: Bacterial small subunit ribosomal RNA
Source: RNAcentral